RNAcentral lists this ribosomal RNA (400 nucleotides) under phytoplankton environmental sample. Its description in RNAcentral is "partial small subunit ribosomal RNA". It matches the Rfam family "Eukaryotic small subunit ribosomal RNA", at positions 587 to 988 of the family's 1831-position model. The record is from RNAcentral.
AGCUCCAAUAGCGUAUAUUAAAGUUGUUGCAGUUAAAAAGCUCGUAGUUGGAUUUCUGGCAGGAGCGGCCGGCCACGCGCUCUGCGCGUGAGUUUGUGCUGUCUCUGGCCAUCCUCGGGGAGAUCGCGUUUGGCAUUAAGUUGUCGGGCGUGGGAUACCCGUCGUUUACUGUGAAAAAAUUAGAGUGUUUAAAGCAGGCUUAUGCCGUUGAAUAUAUUAGCAUGGAAUAAUAAGAUAGGACUUCGGAACUAUUUUGUUGGUUUGCGUUACGAAGUAAUGAUUAAUAGGGACAGUUGGGGGUAUUCGUAUUUCGUUGUCAGAGGUGAAAUUCUUGGAUUUCCGAAAGACGAACUACUGCGAAAGCAUUUACCAAGGAUGUUUUCAUUAAUCAAGAACGAAA